This 507-nucleotide ribosomal RNA is filed under the name uncultured bacterium. RNAcentral's name for it is "bacterial SSU rRNA". It matches the Rfam family "Bacterial small subunit ribosomal RNA", at positions 29 to 524 of the family's 1533-position model. The record is from RNAcentral.
AGUGAACGCUGGCGGCAGGCCUAAUACAUGCAAGUCGAACGGCAGCACAGCAGAGCUUGCUCUGUGGGUGGCGAGUGGCGGACGGGUGAGGAAUACGUGGGAAUCUGCCCAGUCGUGGGGGAUAACGUAGGGAAACUUACGCUAAUACCGCAUGCGCCCUUCGGGGGAAAGCCGGGGACCUUCGGGCCUGGCGCGAUUGGAUGAGCCCACGUCGGAUUAGCUAGUUGGCGGGGUAAAGGCCCACCAAGGCGACGAUCCGUAGCUGGUCUGAGAGGAUGAUCAGCCACACUGGAACUGAGACACGGUCCAGACUCCUACGGGAGGCAGCAGUAGGGAAUAUUGGACAAUGGGCGCAAGCCUGAUCCAGCCAUGCCGCGUGAGUGAAGAAGGCCCUCGGGUUGUAAAGCUCUUUUGUCCGGAAAGAAAAGCGCCGGGUUAAUACCCUGGUGUCCUGACGGUACCGGAAGAAUAAGCACCGGCUAACUCCGUGCCAGCAGCCGCGGUAAU